RNAcentral lists this transfer RNA (66 nucleotides) under Trichocoleus sp. FACHB-46. Its description in RNAcentral is "tRNA-Thr". It matches the Rfam family "tRNA". Rfam says of the family: Transfer RNA (tRNA) molecules are approximately 80 nucleotides in length. Their secondary structure includes four short double-helical elements and three loops (D, anti-codon, and T loops). Lineage: Bacteria; Bacillati; Cyanobacteriota; Cyanophyceae; Leptolyngbyales; Trichocoleusaceae. RNAcentral also lists the same sequence under 1 other name. The record is from RNAcentral.
GUGGCUCAACGGCAGAGCAGUCGCCUUGUAAGCGGAAGGUUAGGGGUUCGAGUCCCCUUGGCUCCA